Molecule: long non-coding RNA, 249 nt
Filed under: Amborella trichopoda
Lineage: Eukaryota; Viridiplantae; Streptophyta; Magnoliopsida; Amborellales; Amborellaceae
Description: long non-coding RNA (ATRI_LNC000767)
Source: RNAcentral
UCAAAUCUUGUUACAGUAAGUGUUAUAUCGAAACUGGCCCAGUAACCCACCAGUCCCAUGCCAAUUUCGGAGAUUUCAACUCAGCCCAAUGUUAACCAUGAAUGGCGAAAAUCAAUGUGUUUAAUGUGGUGUUUAACCCAGAACAGUGGGGUGGAUUGUUCACCCCCGUAUCUUCGUUGGAUCAAUGGAUCAGAGGUCCGGAUUAGUUUGAAUUUGGGAUUCAGAAAUAUAUUAAAGCUUAAAAUUAAA